GAUGAACGCUGGCGGCGUGCCUAAUACAUGCAAGUCGAGCGAACGGACGAGAAGCUUGCUUCUCUGAUGUUAGCGGCGGACGGGUGAGUAACACGUGGAUAACCUACCUAUAGGACUGGGAUAACUUCGGGAAACCGGAGCUAAUACCGGAUAAUAUUUUGAACGGCAUGGUUCAAAAGUGAAAGACGGUCUUGCUGUCACUUAUAGAUGGAUCCGCGCUUCAUUAGCUAGUUGGUAAGGUAACGGCUUACCAAGGCAACGAUGCAUAGCCGACCUGAGAGGGUGAUCGGCCACACUGGAACGGAGACACGGUCCAGACUCCUACGGGAGGCAGCAGUAGGGAAUCUUCCGCAAUGGGCGAAAGCCUGACGGAGCAACGCCGCGUGAGUGAUGAAGGUCUUCGGAUCGUAAAACUCUGUUAUUAGGGAAGAACAUAUGUGUAAGUAACUGUGCACAUCUUGACGGUACCUAAUCAGAAAGCCACGGCUAACUACGUG
This 497-nucleotide ribosomal RNA is filed under the name uncultured bacterium. RNAcentral describes it as "partial 16S ribosomal RNA". It matches the Rfam family "Bacterial small subunit ribosomal RNA", at positions 28 to 507 of the family's 1533-position model. The record is from RNAcentral.